This 200-nucleotide unclassified non-coding RNA is filed under the name soil metagenome. RNAcentral's name for it is "partial contains internal transcribed spacer 2 and large subunit ribosomal RNA". The record is from RNAcentral.
UUAUCACUAAUCAAGCCCGGCUUGUUGUUGGACCUUUUGUCGAUAAAAGACAGGUCCCAAAGAUAAUGACGGCGUCAGUUGGACCCUAGAUGCAACGAGCUUUAACCAGCACGCUUCUUAGUUGGCCCUUUUGACCCGGUCUUUUUUAACCAAUUUUAAAGGUUGACCUCGGAUCAGGUAGGAAUACCCGCUGAACUUAA